CGAUACGAGUUUGAUCCUGGCUCAGAUUGAACGCUGGCGGAAUGCUUUACACAUGCAAGUCGAACGGCAGCACGGGGGCAACCCUGGUGGCGAGUGGCGAACGGGUGAGUAAUACAUCGGAACGUGCCCAGUCGUGGGGGAUAACGUAGCGAAAGCUACGCUAAUACCGCAUACGAUCUACGGAUGAAAGCGGGGGAUCGCAAGACCUCGCGCGAUUGGAGCGGCCGAUGGCAGAUUAGGUAGUUGGUGGGGUAAAGGCUCACCAAGCCUUCGAUCUGUAGCUGGUCUGAGAGGACGACCAGCCACACUGGGACUGAGACACGGCCCAGACUCCUACGGGAGGCAGCAGUGGGGAAUUUUGGACAAUGGGCGAAAGCCUGAUCCAGCCAUUCCGCGUGCAGGAUGAAGGCCCUCGGGUUGUAAACUGCUUUUUGUACGGAACGAAACGGCCUUUUUCUAAUACAGAGGGCUAAUGACGGUACCGUAAGAAUAAGCACCGGCUAACUACGUG
RNAcentral lists this ribosomal RNA (511 nucleotides) under uncultured bacterium. Its description in RNAcentral is "bacterial SSU rRNA". It matches the Rfam family "Bacterial small subunit ribosomal RNA", at positions 1 to 507 of the family's 1533-position model. The record is from RNAcentral.